Molecule: long non-coding RNA, 422 nt
Organism: Fundulus heteroclitus (mummichog)
Lineage: Eukaryota; Metazoa; Chordata; Actinopteri; Cyprinodontiformes; Fundulidae
Exons: 3
Source: RefSeq, a predicted model, not a curated record
UCCAGUCCAAAUAUGGCUGAGGCAUUUCGGGUUUGGGUGUAUUAAUUGGGAGCGAGCGGAGGCAUCGCCGCCUAUCCUCAGAGGAUAAACACUGCUGAUGUUGAGCCCAAAAUGUUCACAGCGGUUGCCCGAGGCGGCGAAUCUCAUCCGAGAUGCUUUAGUGAACAACGUGUGUGCUGCUUCAGCUGGGCCAGACUUUGAAGAGGCCUUGGAGGGCCAGUGGCCCGGUCGCCCAGAUUUAUGUUUCUUUAUCUCUAACUUUUCUCAAAUAAUUGAAUGGAGGAUUUCACAACCAAGAUAUCAGUGGCGUAGUCUGUAACUUUUGUAGAAAAGCCUUCCUGGGACUGACUAGUGGCACAACCUCUGUCGGGGUGGAAAGUCCAUCCAAGCAGGAAGACUUUUUUGUAAGUCAAAAGGCACUU